CAUAGCGACUAUCGUGGCAUAUCAAUAAGCGGAGGAAAAGAAACUAACAAGGAUUCCCCUAGUAACGGCGAGUGAAGCGGGAAGAGCUCAAAUUUGAAAUCUUCAAGGGUUUCCCUUGACGAAUUGUAGUUUAAAGAAGUGUUUUCUGUUAGAGAGGUGGUAAAAGUUCUUUGGAAUAGGACAUCAUAGAGGGUGAGAAUCCCGUAUUUGAUCACUUUCUACUAACGUUGUGAUACACUUUCAACGAGUCGGAUUGUUUGGGAAUGCAGUCCAAAAUGGGUGGUAAAUUUCAUCUAAAGCUAAAUAUUGGCGAGAGACCGAUAGCGAACAAGUACCGUAAGGGAAAGAUGAAAAGAACUUUGAAAAGAGAGUUAAACAGUACGUGAAAUUGUCAAAAGGGAAGCGUUUGACACCAGUGUUGUUUUUCCGAAAAUCAAUUACGAAUGUUUUGUUUUUGAGGAGUUAUGACUUCAUCGGCUUGCUCCUUUCUUUAUGAAACUUUCUUAAUGCACUUUUCGGUUAACAAGUCAACAUCAAUUUCUUUUGUUGUAAAAGAGUAUGAGGAAGGUGGCUUUCUUUUCGGAGAAAGUGUUUAUAGCCUUGUACUCUGCAAUCGGAGAGAUUGAGGUCUGCAGCGUAGAUCCUUCGGGGUUAGAUACAUUUGUGCUAAGUUAUAGCUUUUCAUAGACAACUUGUUGACUAUGAUUUAGUCUUGUAGCUUACUCGCUGACGCUAUUUUACCUACGCUUAGGAUGUUGAAGAUAUGCGCGACACG
This 775-nucleotide ribosomal RNA is filed under the name uncultured Neocallimastigales. RNAcentral describes it as "partial large subunit ribosomal RNA". It matches the Rfam family "Eukaryotic large subunit ribosomal RNA", at positions 22 to 644 of the family's 3401-position model. The record is from RNAcentral. Lineage: Eukaryota; Fungi; Neocallimastigomycota; Neocallimastigomycetes; Neocallimastigales.